CAAGAGAGAAGGUCUGCAUAUUUGCCAGCCGGCCAGCAGUGUAGUAAACGUUAUGUGGAGUUAUUUUCCAUAUCGUUGUGUUUAUUUAUAUAAGCCCAAUUAGACCCUUUUAAAGGCUUAACUUAGUGUGGCUGCUGCAGACAGCUAGUUUACACCAAGUCCGUCUUGGCAAGACUUGAAAGCAAACAGUAAAUAGCGUAAACAAUUGUAUGUGAUUAUACACUCCUAAAUAAUGUGCAUCUGGGAUGACAAACCAAACUUAUUAAACAGACAACAAAUAGCUGAGGUAAAUAUCAAAUAUGUUAACUCUACCAAAUACAGAGCUGGAUCUCGUCAAAGCCUUAUUAACGCGGCACAGCUGGAUUAGAAUAAAAGAGCCAUUUAGACUUAAAAGCAGGGGAUCUCCAAGUUAGAAAGUCUGGAUUCUGUUCCCGUCUCCAUCACUAAUUCACUAAGUGACACUGAUUAUUACUUUGAUUUUUGCUUGUAUUUUCCCAUCAAUAGAAAGGGAAUUUCAGGACUGUUCCUGAGAGCUGGAGAGAAUGGUUGCCAGAUGCCUUCCCAGGAAGGGAACGAAAGAGAGCUGCUGUCUGGACGCCUCCUGCCUUGCUCUGCCAUCUCCCAGACCUGAUACCCCCUGGAAAAGAGAGUUGGCCUGGGCAAACAUGGGACCAAGGAUCCGAACUCCCUUUGCCCUCAGAACAGAAGGUUAGCCACCAACUCUACCUCCGCCCUAUGCCCUGGGGAGUGGAGCCUCCAUUGUCGGUGGAAUCUCCCCCAGAGCCUUCUGCUCUAGUUCUUAGGGCCACACAUAAUUCAUUCAUCCAUCAUCAGACAUGAGGAUACCGAAGUAGGGGAAAGAAGAAUUCCUUCUCUAGAAGAACUUACUGACAAGGAAAUUGAUGUGUUCCAUGCUGCAGAGGCAGGAGCAGGGUGGAGGUGCGUGACCUCACUGGAAUGAAGAAGGCGAAGCCCAGUCGAGGUCUCCAAGGAUGAGCCCAGCUGCAGGGGGCUGUCUUAUUCAUGACCCUCUGAAUCUGGGCUGGACUCAGUGACCUGCUCAGCCAACAGAAUUUGUAGAAGUAACAUUCUGGGACUUCUGAGACUAACUUACAAGAAACCUUGCUGCUUCUACCUGGGUCUCUUGGAACACCCUCACUCUGGUAGCUUUGAGCCACCAUGGAAGAACUCUGAUGACUCUAAAUUGGCCAAGUUAGAGAGAUUACAUGCAGGCUCUCUGGGACGUGGUCCCCGUCAGGUCCAGCCUUCUAGUUGUCUCUGCGACUCUGCCAAAGUGCCAGACAAUGAACGGAGCUGUUGUGGAUUCCCUCGACUUGCCCAGCUGUCAGUUGGACAUCUCAGUCAACACCACAUGGAACAGAAGAGUUGCGCAGCUGAGCCCUGUCCAAGUUUCUGACCCACAGAAUGUGAGAUAAAGAAAACGGUGGUGGCCAGGCGUGGUGGCUCAUGCCUGUAAUUCCAGCUCUCAGGGAGGCAGAGGCAGGAGGAUAGCUUGAGCCCAGGAGUUCGAGAUCUGCCUGGGCAAUAUAGCGAGACCUCGUUCUCCACAAAAAGGAAAAAAAAAAGACCAAAAAAAAAAAAAAAAAGAAAACGGUGGUUCUGGCACUAAUUUUUGAGAAUAUUGUUAUGCAUAGCAAUAGAUAACUGUUAGUUUUCUAGGACCCCUGUAACACAGUACCAUAAACUAGGAGGCUUAAAACAACAGAAAUGUAUUCCUUCCCAGUUCUGGAGGACAGAAGCCUGAAACAAAGGUGUUGGCAGGGCCACACCCCCUCUGAAGGCUCAGGGGGAACCUGUGCCAUGCCCUUCUCUUAGCUUCCCAUGUUACUGCGAAUCUUUGGCAUCCCUUGGUUGGAGACAUGGCACUCCAGUCUCUAUUCUUCUGCCACCUGACCUCCCCUCUCCCUGUUCACAUGGCGUUCUCUUCCUUAUGUGUGCUCGCUCUACUCUUAUAAGAAUACUAAUCAUAGUGGAUCAGGGCCCACCCCUCAUCUUAGUUAUAUCCAUGAAAUAUAUCUGAUUAGAUCCAUGAAAACCCUAUUUCCAAAUCAGGUCAUGUUUACAGGUACCAGGGGUUAGAACUUCAACUUUUUAGAGGACAUAAUUCAACCCACAACAAUAGUCAAAACACAAAGAUUUGAGUACAAGUUGUUUAUUUGAGGGAUGAUUCUAGGAAGCUCCAGUGGGGGCUGGUGGGAAGGCGGGAGGGGGAAGGUAAGAAGGUCAGAAUAAUGGGCAUCGUGGCCCUGUGGGCACUGGGAGUCAAUGCCACCAGGAAAAAUCUGGCAGACAGUGUAGAAAACACCUCAAAGUGAUUCUCUCUGCACUGCCCCCUCCCUCAGGGGUGGGCAAGGUGGACAAUUGGUCCUUCCAUUCCCAUCUCUCACUGGCUGAGGGCUGCUGCCUGGGAGCAUUAACUUCCUCGCACUUAAGGCUCACUGCCCAAAACCAAGAGCAAUCCCUCAAGUGAAGAGCAGCAGGUGCUUGCAGCAGGGCCCUGCGGGCAUCAUCUGGAACAGCAGGUGCUGAGGGGCAUGGGUGGGGGGCUGACAAUCUUUGCUAUUGCCAUGCUAGCGAGCUUGAAUUGUUUUCUGAAGGUUAUGGGGGCUGGAAGGAAUUGAAAUACUUAAUGCAGCAGAGUGGUGAGAUCAGGUUUGAAUUCUAAGUCACCCAGGUGGGAGUCGAAGUGGGGCAGACUCUCCAGUUAGGAAGCUACACCUGUAGACCAGGGGAGAAAUUGCAUGCACAACCCAGUGCCAUGGCCGGUCAAAUGGAGGGGAAGGGCUAGGCUCAAGGUACAUUUAGGAGGCAGAAUCAACAGGAAAUACACAAGGAAGGUGGGGACAAAGUUGAGGAAAUUCUGGGACCCUGAAGAAAUGCCUGACAUUGAGCUGAGCAAAAGGUGAAAUCUUAUCCUGUCCAUUACAGAAAGGAAAAGCUACUGAUGUGACAGCAACCUGCCUCAGGACCCUGGCACAGGCUGCUUCCUCAGCCUGUGACAUUUUCCAUCCUUGCCCCUCUUCCCCAGUCACAUGACUCACUCCCAGACACAUUGCAGGUCUUUGCUAAAAUGGCCCCUCCUCAAUGGGGUCUUCUUCCCUGACUACCUAAUUUAAAAUUGCAAGCCACCUGUCCCCCACCGUCUUGCCAUUUCUUUCUGUCACCCUAUCCUGCUUUAUCUUUCCCCACCUGUCACAGUCUGAUAUACAUUUACUUUAAUUAUAUAUUGGUUUAUUGUCUGUUGUGUUCCUUGUCACCAUCCAAAUAUGAGCUCCAUAGUGGCAGGGAUUUUUGGCUGUGGUCACAACCCAGCAUCUAGAAUAGGGCCUGGCACAUUGAAAGAAACACACACAUACUUGGUUUGUUCUUGUUUUUGGAGAUAGAUCUCAUUCUGUCACCUGGACUGGAGUGCAGUGGCACAACCACAGCUCACUGCAACUUCAAACUCCUGGGUUCAGGCAAUCUUCCUGCCUCGGCCUCCCGAGUAGCUAGAACAACAGGCACACGCUACCAUGCCUGGCUACUUUUUUUUUUAUUUUUGUAGAGAUGGGGUCUGGCUAUGUUGCCAGGCUGGUCUCAAACUCCUGGCCUCAAGCGAUCUCCCACUUUGGCCUCCCAAAGUACUGAGAUUACAGGAAUGAACAACUGUGACCGGCCAAUACCUCUUUGUUGAAUGAAUGAAUGAAUGAACAAUUCAAAAACCUAUUGUUAAAUACAAAUGGGCUGGGCGCAGUGGCUCAUGCCUGUAAUCCCAACACUUUGAGAGGCCAAGGCGGUGGAUUAUUUGAGCUCAGGAGUGCAAGACCAUCCUGGCCAACAUGGCGAGACACCAUUUCUACUAAACAUACAAAAAAUUAGUCGGGUGUAGUGGCGUGCACCUGUAGUCCCAGUUAUUUGGGAGGCUGAGGCAGGAGAAUUGCUUGAACCUUGGAGGCAAAGGUUGCAGUGGGCUGAGAUUGUGCCACUCCAUUCCAGCCUGGGCGACAGAGCGAGACUUCAUCUAAAAAAACAAAUAAACAAAACACACACACACAGAAAUGGACUAUAGCUGCUUCUGUCUUCUAAAGGGGAGAGGUAAUGGUGGCAUAAUUUAUAUUCUAGGAGAAAUAAAAUGCCUCUACCAUGCUCUUUCCUUCACAAACACUGGAGGAGAAAGAAGAAAAGGAGGUGUCUGGGCAGAUGCCAACUUGUGUGAGCAGAAUGCACGUGGCUCUUCUAAGCAAGCAAGGGAGAGGCUGGGUGUCAGGCAGGGAGUGCAGCAGGUGAAAAGGGAGAGUGUAAGCCUGUAUGUAUUUUGGGUUCUUGAGAAGAAAAGAAUUUAAAGAGUGCAGCAAGGGGCCCGGUGGUAGAAUGGCUAAAGAAUUUUUCAAAGCAGGUGAGUCCCAGACUCAGUUUUAAAUUAUUUUGGAGUUUCUGCCAUAUAAACCCACUGAGUAUCCUCAAAGACCUUAGUAAAGUCUGCUACAAGCAUAGGCCUCAUGUAACUUUUUUGGGAGGGAAGUUGAGGAUAGGGUGCAAAUCCCACAUCUGGUUUGACACAUGGAACGUGAACAGCAAGUAGAGAACCUGAGAUGAAACAGAAAUGGAAUUCAGUGGAAGCAGAAGGGACAACCCUGAUGAUACAAGGCUGUGGUAAUUAUAGAAAAUUGGGGAAAUACUUUUUUUUUUUUUUUUUUUGAGACGGAGUCUCGCUCUGUCGCCCAGAGACUGGAGUGCAGUGGCAGGAUCUCGGCUCACUGCAAGCUCCGCCUCCUGGGUUCAUGCCAUUCUCCUGCCUCAGCCUCCCGAGUAGCUGGGACUACAGGCACUCGCCACCAUGCCCGACUAUUUUUUUGUAUUUUUAGUAGAGACGGGGUUUCACCGUGUUAUCCAGGAUGGUCUCGAUCUCCUGACCUCGUGAUCCGCCCGCCUGCGCCUCCCAAAGUGCUGGGAUUACAGGCGUGAGCCACCGCGCCCGGCCAACAGUGUGUUGUUUUUAUCUUCACCCUGUACAACAGAGAGAUUAGGGAGUUCACCCAAGAUCAUGUAAAUGUCAGAGCCAGAGCUGAACUUUGGCUCUGUAGACUAGAAGUCAAAUACAUUACUACCUUGCUCCUAGCUUUUGCAGAUUCAAUAUUUGGGCUUUCAGCUAUUUGAGAAGUCCAAGCCACGCAGUGAUUUGAUACUUUCGCCUCUGCACAGAAGAGAAUCCCCUGUUCUGGAAGCCUGGUUUGCAGAAGGGAGUCCCUGGGCUAGUGAGUGGGCUGAGCCACUUGCUCAGCAGCCACAGUGCAACUCAGUUUUGUUGAUCUCUGCUGUGGUACAUGAUAAAAAAAAUUAUAGCCUGGGAAGGUCUUUGGACCUAUCUAUGCAAAGGGCAAAGGGCAAAAACUUUUCUAAUAUGUUUCCAGGAGCGGGAGCUUACUGGUGCUUUUAGAGAAUAAAAUUAUUCCAAUUUCUCAUGUCAUAUUUGGGUCCUCCAUGGUUAAAAGCAGAAUGGAUCAUAAGUCUGGGUUUUGAAAGUUUGAAAAGGUCUAUUUCCACUAUCUGUCUUCAGUUUAAGCCGUCGCCAUGACAUCUUACCCAAAGUGGCCUGACUCUUUUCCCAAGAGAUUGCUCUUCUGGGAAAAAAUGCAGUGAUACUCAAGUCAGAACUGGAACACGCCACAAAGGACUCGUAACUGCUUCUUUGGGUUGAAGAGGGGAGGUAUUUGUAGUUCUGGUUAUAAUUGGAGCAAAAAUAUUUUACAUGGACCCUAAUUAAAAUGAGGGGGAAAUGCACUUAAAGUUUUCUUUAACACGUGUGCUUAUGAAUCAAGUUUAUGGGAUGGGAAAUCUAUCCACUUGUUAAUCCAAAAGAUCAUCCACAAAUAGAACCCAGGGUGGCUGUUGUAUGAAAUUGAAUUACGUGCCCAGAUCUAUUACAACCACUUUCUCCUCCUUUCUGUGAGUGGCUUCAGUAUGCCCUGAAGUAUGCACCAAAGGUAAUUCUGUGGAAAAUUAGCAUCAAAUCUUCUAUUUCUGGUGAGACUAAGUGGGAUUUGGGGUGGUUUAUUUGCUAUUUUUUUUGUACUUUUAUUUAUUACCUGAUUUUUAAAAUUAUGACUGUGUAUUAAAUUCCAAAAACAAGUGUUUGCAUUUAGAAUUAAAUAACCCAUAACAAGGGAAAACUUGUCAAUAAUGAUACUAGAACACAAAAGAAGAGAAAAUGCCAAAGAUUCAACUUGGUUGUAUGUAAAAGCCUUUGCCAUCUCAGUCAACUGAGAAAUGACCAAACUUUAAGACUGUUCUUACCCUAGGAUAUCGUUAGGAGUGUCACGUAUACACAUCAGAUUCAUUUUGAGUCAUGUUUUAUUCAGUUCCUCACUUAUACUUACUUUGUGCUGUAUCUACUCUUGCCUGAAGAAGCAAUAUUGCAUGCUUAGGAUUUUUAAAAAAAAUUUUCAGGAGAUGCUGAGUGUUGCUACAAGGAGGAACUGCCUUUGGUUCUUCACUCUAUGAAGAGCUUUAUUAUUUUAUAAUUGCAUAAUGAGUUCUUGGAACAUUGUCUUUAAAAGGACAGAUGUUGUAUUGUAAUAAAAUAAUGUUAUUAAAAUUUGAUAACCUGGAAACAAU
Molecule: long non-coding RNA, 6615 nt
Filed under: Homo sapiens (human)
Lineage: Eukaryota; Metazoa; Chordata; Mammalia; Primates; Hominidae
Description: HSALNT0152454
Source: RNAcentral